UAAGUCCCGCAACGAGCGCAACCCUUGCCUUUAGUUGCCAUCAGGUCAAGCUGGGGACUCUAGAGGAACUGCCUGCGCAAGCAGAGAGGAAGGAGGGGACGAUGUCAAGUCAUCAUGGCCCUUACGCCCAGGGCUACACACGUGCUACAAUGGCAUCUACAGUGGGCAGCUAUCACGCGAGUGUGAGCUAAUCUCCAAAAGAUGUCUCAGUUCGGAUUGUUCUCUGCAACUCGAGAGCAUGAAGGCGGAAUCGCUAGUAA
Molecule: ribosomal RNA, 260 nt
Filed under: uncultured alveolate
Lineage: Eukaryota
Description: partial Bacterial small subunit ribosomal RNA
Rfam family: Bacterial small subunit ribosomal RNA
Source: RNAcentral